UUUAUAUUUAGUUUAACAUUUUUAUAUUAUUUAGUUUCAGUGUUAGGGACAGAAAAUAGCCUAUGCAUGGGAGACUAGGAGCCAUUUAUUUGUUGUAGGCCUAUAGUUUUUUUUGGUGUCCUUAAUAAAGAGAUGCGCUGCUUUUUUGACACCACACUCCAAAAAGCAAGUCCUGGGGCCUCAUGUACAAAGACUUGCGUUGAAUUCAUACUAAAACAUUGCGUACGGACAAAGCCAUAAAUGUGCGUACGCACCAAAAAAAUCUGAUGUAUGAAUCUCUGCGUACGCAGCAUUCCACAUACAUUCUCUUUGUACAUCCCAAUCAACGCGAAAUUGAGCGCACAUGCACGAGCACCACACCACACCCUGUCUCCUCCCUCAAUUAAAUCAAUUUAAAUAUGGUAAUUAGUCCAAUUUGGCAAAAGAAACCUGCAAGAACAUGGCUAAAGCAAGCAAGAAACGAAAUUUCACUGAAAACGAAUUAGAGGUGCUACUAUCAGAGGUAGAAACAAGAAAAAAUAUUUUAUUUGGAAAUCUGUCCUCUGGAAUUAAUAACAAAAGAAAGAAAAAAGAGUGGGCAAGUUUGUCAGAUGCCGUCAACGCGGUGGGAUCUGAGAGUCGCACCGUAAAUGAACUGAAGAAGAAAUGGUCAGACAUAAAGGUGGAAGUUAAGCGGAGAACUGCUGCGCACCGACAAAGUGUGGGCAGAACAGGCGGUGGUACAGGGACCGAUGAACUUGCACCCUUUGAUCAGAGAGUUGCCUCUAUUGUAGGAGACACGUUAAUCUCUGGAAUCGUAUCCGCUGAUGUAGGAGACUCGGAUAUACUACAGGACUGCCAGCAAGGAACCGCAGGAACGUCCACUGGCACGCACUCAGUGUCCGCACCACCUGAGCAGCCAGAGCCCAUUCAGUCCAGCGUCUCCCGUGUCUCUAAUGUUCCCCCCAGUGCUGAAGCCCGUCCAUCUGGCCGUGUCUUGACGCAUGCUGUUCUGGAGUCACAACAACAAAUUGUUAGGGCCAUUGAAGAAAUGAACAGUCACCUUAAAAAUGUCACUGACGCACUCACAGAAAUAAGCCAUUCAUUAAAAGAAUUGGUCAAAAAAUGAA
This is a long non-coding RNA of Coregonus clupeaformis (lake whitefish), 1109 nucleotides long. RefSeq lists it as uncharacterized. Lineage: Eukaryota; Metazoa; Chordata; Actinopteri; Salmoniformes; Salmonidae. The record is from RefSeq and is a predicted model, not a curated record. The transcript has 2 exons.